Molecule: ribosomal RNA, 674 nt
Filed under: Scutellospora dipurpurescens
Lineage: Eukaryota; Fungi; Glomeromycota; Glomeromycetes; Diversisporales; Gigasporaceae
Description: eukaryotic LSU rRNA
Rfam family: Eukaryotic large subunit ribosomal RNA
Source: RNAcentral
CUAACAAGGAUUCCCCUAGUAACGGCGAGUGAAGCGGGAAGAGCACAAAUUUUAAAUCUACCUGGUUUUACUAGGUCGAAUUGUAAUUUAAAGAAACGUUUUUAAUGUUCCGGGUUGGUUUAAAUCCUUUGGGAUAAGGUAUCAUGGAGGGUGAGAAUCCCGUGUAUAUCAACCGCUGGGAUGUUAUUAAUACGUUCUCUAAGAGUCGAGUUGUUUGGGAAUGCAGCUCUAAAUGGGUGGUAAAUUUCACCUAAUGCUAAAUAUAAGCGAGAGACCGAUAGCGAACAAGUACCGUGAGGGAAAGAUGAAAAGAACUUUGAAAAGAGAGUUAAAUAGUACGUGAAAUUGUUGAAAGGGAAACGAUUGAAGUCAGUCAUGCCGGCGGGAAUCAAUUUUGAGGAAGGGGGAUUUUUUUGAACCUAACUUUGAAAUGCACUUCUUCGCUUGGCAGGUUAGCGUCGAUUUUGAACGUCAUAAAAUGAUUGGGGGAAGGUAGCUCUUUCGGGAGUGUUAUAGCCCUUAAUUAAUGUGAUGUUUGGGAUCGAGGAUUGCAACGGAUACCUUUUAGGCUAGCCACCUAGCCUCUGAUUCGAUGUCGAGUUAUAGACAGCAUGCUGACUAUGAUUUGAUUAUUGGUCAAAAGGUUAGAGUGAGCAUAAAUUCGUUAAGGACGC